RNAcentral lists this ribosomal RNA (253 nucleotides) under uncultured bacterium. RNAcentral describes it as "partial 16S ribosomal RNA". It matches the Rfam family "Bacterial small subunit ribosomal RNA", at positions 524 to 776 of the family's 1533-position model. The record is from RNAcentral.
UACAGAGGUCCCAAGCGUUGUUCGGAAUCACUGGGCGUAAAGGGCGCGUAGGCGGCCGGUCAAGUCGGGGGUGAAAGCCUGUGGCUCAACCACAGAAUGGCCUUCGAUACUGGACGGCUCGAGACCGGAAGAGGUGAGUGGAACUGCGAGUGUAGAGGUGAAAUUCGUAGAUAUUCGCAAGAACACCAGUGGCGAAGGCGGCUCACUGGCCCGGUACUGACGCUGAGGUGCGAAAGCGUGGGGAGCAAACAGG